Molecule: long non-coding RNA, 885 nt
Organism: Paramormyrops kingsleyae
Lineage: Eukaryota; Metazoa; Chordata; Actinopteri; Osteoglossiformes; Mormyridae
Source: RefSeq, a predicted model, not a curated record
GCUACCGCAUACAACACACCCCCCUCCAACUUUUUCCUUAUCAGAACGAGCGGUUUGUUUUGGUAUUUCACCUAUGAUGUGUAGAUAAGGAAAAUUACCAACAACGCAUCUUAACAGAAGAAGGCAGUUCAUUUCUUUCUUUUUUAUUUAUUAUUUUAAUAAUCUACUUUACUUCUUAUAUCAACGGGUUAAAUCUGGUGGGCUGGCUCUUCUGUUUGCUACCAUAGGGUUAGAUGAGAUUUGAAAUUACGCGUAAGGAAGAUACGCGCGUCUGUACCGGAGAUGUACGUGGGAAUUUUGCUGGCUUGCGUAUUUAUGUGGGGAAAGGCGAAGACGCGGCAGCCAUCUGCUCCCAGCGCGCCGGAGGGAUGCGAGCUGCUGACGGAGACUCGCCGCGCCUUGAGUGUCACCGCGCGAGGGACGGUGUGAGAUCGGGACACCAAGUGUGUCCAGCAGUACUUUCAUUCAGGGAGGCACCGAAGCAGGAGUCCAUUCAGGAUUACUUUAUUAUGUUUUUGUUCCUGAAAUAGUACUUGGAAAUUGACCCGCAUACGGAACAAAAUGCAGCCUCAAAAGGAACGAUUUGAUUUAUUGUAAUUAUUUUCUGUUUAGUUAAGUUAAAGCUUUUAUAAUAAAAAUGAUUUGCCUUGCGGGAAUCUUUCACUGCAGCCUGUAGCCUAUGUGUUGUUGAGCGCUACGGGAAGUUUCUUUCACAUCCGAUUCGUGCUUUGAAGAUACAAAAUAUCUUUUCCAAGGAAUAUACCGAUAAACGUCUGAUGAGUAUGAGUCGGUAGACAAAGAUGCACCAUUCUAACGUUAGAUUUUUCUGUAGGAAUGUUAAGAAUAAUAAUUUCAAAUAAUAAUUAAAUCUAGACAGAAAAUGGA